AGAAAAUGUCCUGUGCUCCAAACUGUGGGCUAGGUGGAAUUGUUGCAAAGGGCUUCUAGCCAAUAAGCUUUAUCCUACGUAAAUAAUACUCAUGCUUAUGUUCUAUUUAUUUUAAAAAUUUAUGUAGAUGCUACUGUGGUUGAUAAAAUACAAGUUCAUUUACAAAGUGUUAUUGAAUUGAUAACAGCUUGUUGUUUUACUUUAAUAACUAGGGACAUAAAGGCAUCACUAAUAUUAUUAUUAUUUGGAAGACUCUGACAUACUUUGGGCAUUGUAAAGGUAUUUUCAAGCUCACAAAUAUGGGAGCCCUAAUGUAAAUGUUCAUAAAUUCUUUAUCACUAAAAUAUACCUGGAUGUUUUUUCAGAACUGAGAUGGGAAAAAAUGAUGUGAAAGAAGCAAGUAAUAUUUUUUAGAGUAAAUGGUUAUUCAAGUUGGAUGAAGCAUGGUGGGAAAUUUUCUUAGGUCUUGAGACAAGAGCCCUGGCUCUGAACAAGUCACACCCCCAAUUUCUAUGUAUUUUUUGAAUAACAUAUUAUUUUCCUGCUUUGAGCCAUGGAUACUGGAAAAAGGCAGCUGUACGAUGUUUUAGUGAACAUAAUACACUGUCACUAUAAAAAGUGUUUGCUGUUAUAAAACAUUGUUUCUCACUUCAUUGCACAUAAUCAUAACCCAUUAGGCAUCUCUGUCUUUGACCUUCAAUAAAUAUCUGAGGACACAAAGAAAGCUACACAUGAUAUAAUGGAUUUCUCCACUUUCAAUUUGUUGAAGAAAAAACUUCUCUUAAGUUCUCUGAUUCUCAUUUCCAUUUCUUUCUUUCUAGUGUGGUUACCCUUUUCAAGUACACACUAUUUUUAUGUCUGUAUCCUAAUUCUGUCAGGUUCAAUGUAAAUGAUUACACAAGAGUGGUAUUUAACACAUGAUUUCUUAGCAGCUGGCCAAAUCACCAGCAUUUUAUGGGACUUUUCCUUUUCUUUGGGCAUGACACUAGGAAGAUCAUUCCACAAAUGUUUCGACUCGCUUUAAAAUAAAAGCCAACUUACUCUCAUUCCAAAACUCAGGACCUUUUACUUUUGAACUGACUCUUUUUUCCUUUUUCUGCAAAUAAUUGUGUUCUCUUUAAUAUCACAGCUUUUGUUAACAUAUCUCUUACAGGCUUGAUCAGUAGUUUUCAAUCAGGGAAAAUGUUGCCCUGCAGAAGGCAUCUGGUUAUCACAGCUGGGGAGGUGGAGAGGAUGCUGGUAUCUACAAGGCGGAAGCCGGGGAUGCUGCUAAGCAUCCUGUAACGCUCAGGACAGCCCCCCACAGCAAACAGUUAUCCAGCCCCAAAUGUCAAUAGUGCCAAGAUUGAGAAACCAGAGCUAGAUUAAGGUAUUGCCUCCAUGUUUUUAACCACAUGGAUGCUGGCAAUAGUUUAUAAGCUAUAGAAGCUCAGUGAUUAAAAUCAGUCCUUAGAUUUCCACACAGUGAGGAGCAAAUAAGAUCAAAGCAAACCAGUAGAGAUUGGCUCCCUCACCCUUCUACCACAUGGAGGUCAGAUACCUGUCCUUGAGCUUGUGAGAAGAAGCCUAAAUAUCAGGUUUCGGAUGCUUAACACCCUGUGUCACUAGUGGGGUCACAAUAAGGUGACUGAGCCUCUCAUCACUUCCUCCAGUAGAUGAUUAAUUAUGAAGAAAGGUCUCUGCAUGAACUCAAAAUUUCAGCUGUCUGCCAAAGCGAGUUGUCUGUGUUCAGGAAACAUCUCUUUCAAUUCAAGCCACCAAAAACUGAUUAUGCUUAACCUACAUAUGCUCUUUGCAGAGCCAGCCUUCCCAGGCAGAUAAAAGCCAUGAAAUUUCAUAAGCAUUGUAGAGUGCUAAAAAUUUGGAUGGCAAAUGCACAAAUACUGCCAUCAAUAUCCUCAGGCUUAGAGCUGCUAUUAACAUCAGGCGUACAUACUAUGACUUUAUUUCCUACACUACAUAGAUAGUGCUUAAAUGUAUGGAUUUAUUAUCACAUUUGGCAUAUUUUAUUUACAGCAUAAGAAAGGUGAAACAUUCUGCAGCAUUGCAUGUUAAGAUUAGGAUUUAUUGUCCAGGAAUCCUUGAACAAUUUUAUCAAAUGCCCAUUUCUAAGUGGUGUUUUUCUGCAAUAAAUCAUACAGCAAGAAUCUAUCAGUGGACACUAGGAAGAGAUAAAUGAGUGUAGAGGAAAGAGGGUCAUCACAGAUUUUUUUCUGUAUCAUGACCUGUCAUUGGCAGAAAUCCAUUUAUUAUGGUUCACAGAUGAUUUUUUUACUUACUCACUGUGUUUUCUGUUUGGGGUGUUAGCUAAGAUAAAAUGAAAACUGGGCCAAAUGUAAGCUAUCAAAAUCCAUGAAGGCAGACAUAACUUAAAGAUCAUGAGAUACCAAAAGUAUCCAUUUUUUUCUCCUUUCAUGUAGCUGUAAAUUUUUUUGAAAUAUCUUUUUAAAAUGUAAAUAUUUUAAUUUUUAAAGUAACCGUUUCACUCAAGUAGGUUAGAAUACAAGUAAUAGAAAAUUCUGUUGCAGACUAGAACUUUGCCCCAGAAUGUUGUUUUAGCAGAAAAGCAGAAACGGUAUCUAAUAGCUGUCAAGUAGUUGUCAAGCACCCCCUUAGUGAGUUUUCUGUUCUUCUCUUACAUCCUUUCUCAUUUAAUCUGUAAUCAGGACCCUAUAAUUUGGAACAAGACCAGGUACAUGAAGAAAUGAAUGCUAAAUGCCAGGCUAAAUGCAAGAAUAAUUUUUAGGAAGUUGUUACUACUAUUAUAAUUGAAUUUACAAUUUACAUUUGAUUGAAAGAAUUCAUUAAAAUGUAGCAUUUCAAGUUUCUUCUUUAUUAUAUUUAUUUUUAUACUACCUUUCGCUCUACAAGUUGUCUAGGCAAAGAAAAUACUUGUAAAAUGAGUUUCUGGCUUCUUAAAAUGACACACUAGUGAGUAUACAUUGAGUGAAUGCUGUAUUUCCACAAACAUUUUCAAAACAGGGUUUUUUUUGAAGAGGAGGGUUGCAGGGGAAUGGGGUGGUGCCCAUCUCUGCACACUCUGGGAUAGGGAUCCAUCAGCUUGUGAUAAUACAUCAUGACACCCUAGAGAGUCACUCUCCCUCCACAGCCCUUCACAGUAGAGCCCCAAAUGGACUCUUGCUUUAAACAUAAUAUGGAUGAGCAAUAGAGAAAAUACAGAUGGACAAUUGCUUUUCUAGUGUGUGACCCACAGCAGGUCCCAGCUCCUUUAUUUCAAGAAAUCCAGAGCAAUUAAUGUUCCUAACUUACCUCCUCCUUCCUGGGCAGGGGAGGACACCCCUCCAUCUAGGAGCAUGUAAGCCUGAACAACAACCCUUAAUCCACAGAAAGGAGCCAAUAGUAAAACUGAAGUGAAUGAUCCCUUCCUCUAAUUUAUCAAAUACAGUCAGCCUGUCUACAAUACUUGAUUGGGAGAAAUUGCAUCAGUGUUUUUGGUCAUGGGUAAAGCAUCAGGGACUAGAAGAGGCAAGUAAGGUAAUUGCCUGGGGUGCAAAAUUUAAGGGGAAAUGAGGAAGGUGCCCCAAAACUCAGUGAUCAGAAUAAAUAAUAUUUUAAUGAUAUUUUUAAAACUUAAAAUUACUGCAAAAACUUCAUGAUGAGGAAAAUAUCAACAUUUUAAAUAAAAACAAGAUUGAUAUUACUGAUUUUGUUGUUCUAGAGUGGCUCAGCAUGGAACUGCCCAGUAUACACUGAAAUAAGUGGAAGAGAAAGUUAAAGGGAGCCUGUCGCUAUCUUUGUAACUUCGGUGGUUCUAUUUGGGUACGCUGAACACCUUCUGGAAGCAGAAAUCUAUCAUGUGUUGUCAAUGCUGUGAAAAUUGUGCUUGGGAGCAACACAUUGGAGCUGAUGGUGGUAGUUGACUCACAGGGUGUAGUCCUGGUCUGCCACUCACAGUUGUGUGACCUUGGGCAAGUCAUUUGACUUUUCUCAUGUCACUUUCCUUUCUCAAGUCAACAUCCUUAAAAGGAUGUUGGAGAAAAAUAAACAUUUUAAGAUAUUUCUGGAACCUGCCCAUAUCAACAAGGGACUUGGAUGGAUUAAAAUGGAUGAUUUGGGUGUUGAAUUGAGUAUUUAUUCAAGGUUAACCUGAAUUAUUAAUUAUUUUGUUGAUUCUCCAAAUAACAUUUCAUUAGGUCACCUUUUGCCUCCUUAAUCUGAGUACGAGAGAGGCCCUGACUUCAACUCCAAGGGCUGGUGGUAAAUUCUAUUUCAUUCCCUGCCAAGAUUAUAUCUGCUUUGAGGAUUCAUAAAAGACUUGAGAGUUUAUUAAUCCUCUGCUUUUAAUUAACGUUUUGUUUGUUUUAGUUUUUUGUUUGUUUUUGAGACAGGGUCUUGCUUUUUUACCCAGGCUGGAGUGCAAUGGCUCAAUCACAGCUCACUGUUACCUCAAAUUCCUGAUCUCAAGGGAUCCUCCUGCCUCAGCCUCCUAAGUGACUGGAACUACAGGUGCAUACCAUUAUCCCAGCUUAUUUGGGCUCUUAAAAUGUGUGAUCUUACAUGACUCACUCCUUUCCAGCUAAACAGUCCAUUCCUGUGGGGAUCCAGAUAGAACUAAAACUGGACAAUGGGAUCAGAGACAUAGGUCAUUGCUAGUCAAUUUUGGAGUGAAGGCCAUUAGAAAGAAGAUUUAUGAAGAAAGUUGUUUUGCAUCACACAAUCAUCUCAGAGUUUUCUAAUUGGCUAUGUUAAUCAGAUUUUACCCUGAUAUUAGUAACUUGAAAUUUCAUUUAAAUCCUUUGCCCAAUAAUUAUUCCAUCUUUUCCUUUAUAGAAUCUUGAACACUCAUUUUUGUUUGAAUGUUAGCCAAUAUCUUGAAAGUACUGUGCCCAGUUUUUUUUGUAAUAAUGGAGUAUUUCAUAAAGGAGUAAUUAUAAAUCAUAAAUGACAGAAAGCAGAAAUAUUUUAUUCUUUUUUAUUUGAGCUAGGAAAAUUUGAACUAUCAGACCAAAUAAUCCCACUUAAGGCCUCUGUUGUACUGAAAUCGUAAAGAAAGUCUGAUUGCAUGGUAUGUGUGAGAGAGAGAGAGAUCACACAUGGACGUAUAGAAAUCUGAACUUAACUUUUCUCUUGCUUCUCCAGUGACAACUGGUCCCCAUCUACCUGCUCUGUAAACCUUAUUAUCAGCAAAGAAGUAUACAAAGCCUUCACUCUCCUCUGAAAAGCAAGUUAAGGUUACCCGGGGGCUGAUAGUACAUGUGGUGUUUGAUUGUAAGCCCAAUGGGGAGAAUUUAAAUACUUAACCAUUUAAGAUAUCUUAGAUCAAUUGUUAUAAGGGGAGUGACUGAUGGAAACAGAGGAGAAGACUGACUGGACUCUUAACCCAUUGCAGGGUGUAAAUUAAAGGCUGUCUUUGGACAUUUUAACUUAGUCCAGACAUUGUACACAAUUAUUGUCUCAACAGGAUAGAAGAAUAAAAGGAGCUUGCUUCCUUUGCCACAGGUUUUUUCCUACCUUCCCUGACAUCUCUGAGGGUGGGGAGGCGGGAGGCAGAGAAAAACAGAGAGACAGAGAGAGAGAGAGAGAGACAGAGACAGAGACAGAGAGACAGACAGAGAGAGAGAGAGAGAGAGGAAGAGAGAGAUGCAUGUUACUUUAUUAGUUUGGAGAAUUAACCUGAAAAGGAAUGUGAGUCACAUGUUUGUUUAAAGCACCCCUAUGUUAAUUGAUCAGAAAUCUUCAGCUGGCAAUAAAACAUUACGAAUUUAGAGGCAGAAAAAUAAAGUUCCCUUUGUUACCAGAAAAAUAAAGUUGUAUCUGGGAAGGUGACAAUAACAAAAACAAACAAAAAAAAGCUUUUCGGAAAUGAUGGUUUGAUCAUUCUCACCUAAGAGUUGUUGUUAAGAUAAACAAAAUUACAAGCCAAAGAGAUGUUGACAUUAUCUUGUUAUAUUUUCAGCUUUUUGGGCUGCCUUCUUGGGCUGAUGUUUAAAGGAUUAGACUGAAGCUUAGCUUCUGUGUGUUUUUGAAACUUCCCACAGAUCAGCCUCUGAGAAAAAAUGCACUGGUGUAUCAUGUUUCUAACACUUAAAGAUCUAAUUGGGAUAUUGUUCUGUACAUGCUGUUAGACACUGUAGUGACAAGAAGAGUCCUAGCCCACAUUGGCCAGGAGCCAAUACAUACCUUCUCCGAACAAAGUGCAGGAUAAUUAAAGAGCAACUACCGAGAGAGCACCGCAGAGCCUGCACAAAAAUAGCCAUCAAUAAAGUGCUGGAGAGCUAGCUCCUUGGGAACGUUGAGCGCUCCUUCCUACAUUCACUUUGCUUUUCAAAUACAGUUCCUCAGAGCUAUUUUUUUCCUCACUUUUUGAGUAUUUUAUAAGUAGUUCUAAAUUUUUUAAAAAAUUAAAUAUCUCCAUCUAUUAUCUAUGCAAAAUUACCUGAAGAGCACCGUUAGGAGAUUCAAAGUAUAUUUCAUAAAAUUUAAGGGAACCAAGGCAUUUAGAAGCUUCAUUUCAAUUACAAUUCGGUAACUAAGAACUAAAUAAAAUACACAGGGUAUUUUUACAUCAGUCACAAUUCCUAUUCAAACAACCUAUUUAAAUGUGCACAGGCCUUUCAGGCAGAGCCACUCAAAUGCCCUUGCAUAGCAGGUUCUGCAAGUAAAUCAGGAAGGCGUUAGGAUUGUAUAAAACCGCAACAUGACCCCCGUAGGCUCGAUUACCUUUCCAGCAUAACCAUUUAAAAAAUUGUUUUUCCAUUCUUUUUUUAAAAAACAAAACAAAGCAAAACAAUUUUGUACAAAUCAUGAAGCAUUGAGAACCUCUGAGUAGCUGGUUCUUACAGUGACCCUAAAGGAUUUACACCAGAACUUCCCAACACCACUAAAGGGAACAAUGCAUAUAAAUCCCUUCCGCAGUGAUGGGGAAAUGGGAUCCUUAGAAAGCUCCUUCUCUAUUCAAUGAAAUCUGCCAAUUUUUUACUCUUAAAAUACGAUUCCAUCCACAGGGCAACUUCAAAAUGGUUUCUCCACAUUUCUUUAGAUCCUGUGUAAAUCAAGUGCUGUUCGGCAGAUACCGUGUAUAAAUCAUCCAUAUUUUAGCCCCUCUCUUUUUAUAGAAUGCAUUUGCAAGAUCAAUUUUUGAUUCUGCAGAGCUCCCUUUACCAGCUUAAACUAAAGAUGGCUUGCUUUUUUAUGUUGGUUUGCCUUUUUCUAAGUAACCCUCAGAAAACACAAUGAUAGUCUAAGCUCAGCGCACAAUUGUCUGGCAAGGUCAAAUGGAGAGUUAUAACAGACAGGCGUCUAUUUAUUUAUACAUGUUGCUGUGUGCUGAGGAGUUAGCCUCAACACAUUCAAGUUUUUAAAUCAUAGAACUUGCUUUCAAGUCAACUUCCUCAGGACAGCUGAAGGAUUCAAGUCAAUAGAUAGUCUGAUUUUUUUUUAAUUAAAUCUCUAUAGGGUCAUUUAAUGAUAUUGUUAGGAUGCUUGAUGCAGCCCCCAGGUAGAAGACUGUCUGCAAAGCAUAAAGAAUGAGCUGCUCUCCUUCUGCCACAGCCUCUGCUGAUUUACAACCACUUUGUGUUUGAUGUUGGACAGGAUAAUUUCAUCAGUCUCCAACCCUUGUGAUCACGUCCCAAAAUGACUCGUCAGGUGAAGCCCCGGCAGAAGAUUGCUUGUCACCUGUAGGAAGUAGCUGUCUGCUCUGAGUACUCUUUCCUCAUAAAUGAAGAAGAAAUAUGCAUCUGGGUUCAUUUUUGAAGGUUACUAUGGAAAACAUCCAUUUAAGUACAUUUAAGAAUUUUUUUUAAUUAAAAAAAUUUCACAUUUGAGGAAAUGGACUUAAAGAUGGUGGGUAAUUUGCCAAAAGUCACAUAGCUCGUCAGGUUUGCCUUCUUCUUUCAUGAGGACUGUUGAUGUUUUAUUGAAACCCAAUCAGUCUUUAUGGUGUUCCUAUGUGUUAAGCCUGAGCUCCAGGAAUUCUCACUAAUUUGUGAGGAAAUGUUUACACCAAUGGCUGGCUGAACUUUGUUGUUAUGACUCAUUUCCCAUUGGUGAAGAUACAAUUUAUUUAUCCUGUUGGAAUUGGAUGUGUCUAUCUUAUGCAUAUCCCAGAUUUGUUUCUGAGAGGCACACAACACAUUUGAUUUCACAGUUUCACAGCUAGAGAGGAAUUUGCCUCAGAAUAAAUUGUAUCUUGAAUCUCACCAAAAUCUGAUUUAGAUAAUAUUUAGAUAAGACUUUGUACUUUAGAUUUUUGAGUUGAUGCUGGAACAGGCGAAGACUUUUGGGGCUGUUUGGAUAGAAGGAAUGUAUUUUGCAUGUGAGAAGUACAUAAAUUUGGGGAUAUCAGGGGUGGAAUGCUAUAGACUGAAUGUUUGUGUCCUCCCAAAAUUCAUAUGUUGAAAUCCUAGCCCCCAGUCUGAGGAUACUAGGAGGUAGGGCCUCUGGGAGGUACAUCAUGAGAAUAGAGCCCUCAUGAAUAGUAUUAAUAUUCUUAUAAAAGAGACUCCAGAAAAUUUCAUGAUCCCUUCUGCCAUGUGAGGACUCAAUGAGGUGACUUCUAUCUAUGAACUUGGAAUCAGGCACUCACCAGACACUGAAUCUGCUGGCACCUUGACCUUGGACUUUCCAGCCUCCAGAACUUUGGGAAAUAAAUUUCUGUUAUUUAUAAGCCACCCAGUCUUUGCUAUUCUUUUGUAGCAGCCUAACUAGUCUAAGACAAAGCAUUAAGAAAAUAAAACUUAUUAUAGGUUUUGUUUCGCUUUUUAAAUAAUUUUUAAUUGUAAAUAAAUAUAUGUAAAUAAUAAUGGCUACAAAGCAUUUAAGGUAUGCUGGGUACAUAUCUUAAGCAUUUUAUGUAUAUUAUCCACUUAGCCUUCAUUUAUUCUCAUGAGGUAAGUUCUAGUAUCUUUAUUUUACAGGCAAAGAAAUAAACUUAGAGAUGGUAAUUUGCCAAAUGUCAAAUAGUUCAUCAUAUCUGCAUGAUUUUCUUUAUUUCUAACUAAUUAGCAACAAAUCAUUAUUUCAAUCAGGUGACACAGUUGCCUCUCUUACACUUUUAAGCUUAAUCUAGAAUGAAAUAAUUUACACUAUGUAUUUAGGCAUCAUGGUUAAUCUAAUACAAUUCUCAGCCAGCUACUUCAUUCAUUCAUUCAUUCAUUAAUCUAACAUCUAUUAAGCAUUUUCUGUGUGUCAGGCACUAGGGAUACAGAGGUGAACAAAUUAAAUACAGCCCUUGCCCUUGGUAGAGUGGAGGACUCACCUGAGUGUGCAAGUCAUAAUGUAAAUUAUGCAAAUGAUUGUUUGAUCACUGCCUAUGAGGGCCUCAAAGAAGAAAUCAAGGGGCAAUGAGCGUGUUUAGUUAGCGUGGCUGAAGCAAAUCUCCAGAGGAUGGGUCUCCUAAGUUGGGCCAUAGAGGAUGUCUAUCUCUCCAAAUGACACAGGGCCUCUCAGGGACCCAGCAUGCAGCAGAUAUAUUCACCCAACAGAUUCAUUGUCCCAAAUCACUGCACAGAUUCUCUUCUCCCUAUCUUAGAAUGAUUUGGCAGAGAGGCUUCUGGGACCUCAACAGUGUAGUUGCCUUGGUAUCUUAGUAAGGGAGAAGAGCAGAACUGGAGAGGGACAGUGAGCUUAGGGUUGUGCUCAGCAAUCCCAACCUGGAUGUUGAGGGUGGGUGGACAUGAACUCAAGCUUUACUUGGAUCAGUCAGUCUUUUUAUCUUAGGGGUGGUAAAUGGGACACAGGUACAGGAGAUUCAGAGCAGUGGCCAUGCUUGAAGUUAGGAUUCUUAGUAGGUUUGAAGCAAGAUAUUAAAUAGUCUGGUAGGUCCCCAUAAGUUCUCAUCCAGUUGAUUCAGGGUCCUGAGAAGCAUUCUAGGUCGAGGCACAGUCCCAGGAGCAGAUCUGCAGAGUAUUCAAGAUAUAGUCGGAAUCUUAUUAGUUGUCUUGAGGUGGAUUAGAUCAGGGCCUGGGAAGGGGCUAAGCCUGCAGUUUAGAAGCUGCAGUGAGAAGACCUAAGCAUGUCAGGUUCCAGAGCUAUUAUCUAUUCCCUUGCUUAAAAUAAACUGUGCCAAUACAUGUAGGUUGAUCCUUCUGCCCUGAUGGGCUUGACCAGAACAUUCUUUCCAUCCCUAGUUUUGUAUUAAUAAUUGAAUUCCCAGAGCACAAAUUUGCUUUCCAGAUAUCACCAAAUACGUCUUCAUCAGGGACCCCAGUACUGCAGGCCCUUUGUUGUCACUUUGCCCAAACUCAUCUACAAAAAAGUAAAAGGCAUCUGCUCCUCAUCAUUGAGGUAUCUUGAUAUUCUCUGGAGGAAGAAAAGACUUUUCUGCAUAAAGCAAUGUAAGGCAAGGUAUCAGUAGGUUUUCUGCUGCUAUAAUAGAAUACCAGUUUUAUUUGGCUCAUGGUGCUGGAGGCUUGGGAAGUCCAAGAGCCUGGCAUCAGCAUCCGACAGGGCCAUCCCACGGAGGAAGGGAAAGCAGGCACAUGAGACAGGGAAAACGGGCCUGAAUUCCCAAGAUAUCUAACCCAUUCUCUCCACAGUGGCAUUAGCCCACUUAUGAGGGCAGAGCCCUCAAUACCUAAUCACCUCUUGAAAGUCCCACCUCUUCAUUGUCAUAAUGGCAAUUAAAUUUCAACAUGAAUUUUGGAGGGAACAUUCAAACUGUAGCAGGUAAUAAAUGCAGUUAAUAACUGUAAUGAAGUAAAAGUGACAUGUAACUUAUUAGCCAGGGUUCUCCAGAAUCAACAGGGCGUGUGUAUGUGCAUGCCUGUGUGUGUGUGUGUGUGUGUGUGUGUCUGUGUGUGUGUGAGAGAGAGAGAGAGAGAGGUUUAUAUUAAGAAAUUUGCUCAUUUGCUCACAGAAUUGUAGGGGCUUGCAAGUCCUAUAGGUAACCUAUAGUUUACUCCAGUUCAUGUAACUCAUACUUCCCAAAUUCCCAUUUCCUUUUUUUUUUCCUUGUUAAAACAUGUCCUUUUUUUUUUUUUUUUUUUUUUUUUUUUUUUUGCAAGAAAGGAUCUUUCUCCCAGGCAGGAGACUUAACAAAUAGCAAAGCAAUGACAUUUAGACAUAGUAGGUUUUCAAUAAUUUUUGUUAAUAUAUAAUAAAUGCACAUAUUUUGGAAUACAUGUGAUAAUUUGAUACAUUCACAUAAAGCAUAAAGAUCAAAUCAUGAUAAUAGGGAUAUCCAUUAUCUUAAAUAUUUAUCUCAAUAAUAUUUAAUUUAAAAAUGAAUGAAUGGAUGAAUGAAACAAAAGAUCCACCUUCUCUUAAGUAUAAUAUAGAGCAGGAAUUGGAAGGCUGAUGUUCUGUUCUGUAAUAUACAGACUGAAUAAAUAGAAAGUCCCUCUGUUAUGGAAGUCUCACGAAUGUGAGAAUAAAUUUAUCUUUCUGCCAGCUAGGAUAGGGCUAUUAUCCAGAUUAUGCCUUCCUGGCAGAGCCUAUUCAACAUCUACAUAGAGUCAUUGGUGUUCAAAAGAAAAGGGAUUGACCCUUUAAAAAGUACACCAUAAAAAAUAGACUGGUUGGCUAUGGAGCUGCCUGCAAAAGGCUACAAUUAUAGUGCUGGAUAAAUAAUACCUUAUACUAUAGGGGUGGGGGUGAGGGUAAGGGCAGACAAUGGGGAGAGCACAAACCAUGGAAGAAGCAAGAAAAAAGUCUUGUUUUAUAAACCAGGAUAGCAAAAUGGAAGGUGAAGACAAGAAGGGACAUGGCACUCCUUCCCAAAAGGUCAAUUUACUAAAAAAAAAAAUGUAUAUAGAAUUGGUAGAGCUAUAGGAAAAUCUUUUUAUAUUAAAACAAUUAUACCUAUAUUAUCAUAGAAUAUAAUAUUUAUAUAAAUUGUUGAGCAAAAUAUUAGUUUUCUAGAAAAUUGUGACUGUGAUGAAUGUUGUUUCAAGGUACUAAAAAGCUACUGGUUGAGUGCUGCGUGAAGUGGUAUCUCAUCCAAGCCCCAUAAGGAAUUUAUGAGGUUGAAAUUCUUAUUGUCUGUUUGAGAAUGAGGCAGCCAAGGCACAGGACAGUUCAUUGACUUGCCCCUGCUUAGGUAGCUGGUAAGUGGAGGGCCCAGCCCAGACUUCCUAAUCCAAAGCCCAGGCUCUUAACAACCACCUUAUCCUAGUCCUCAUUCCCAGACCGCGGUUGCCCCAUUCUAAUCUUCCACCAUCAAGGGUGCUCUACUAGAAGAGAUGGAAGAGAAUCUAAAUUUGAUCGCCUCACCAGAAUCUUAAUGACUCCACUAAUUGGAGCUGAUUAGUCAGGAAAUGUUAGGAGUCAGACACAAGUAAGCCACUGGGGAAAGAGAUGGCUUUGUUUGGUUUUCCUUUCUAAGCUUGUAGAAGAAAACCUAAAAACAUGUAAAAAGGAACUGACAAUUUCAAGAUUGAUGUGCUUUUUCUUGUUAAGGCUAAAUAUCAAAAACUUUAAAAAUAACUAAAAAGCAAACAGCAAUAACCUUUUAAGUGCUGUGAUUCUGAAAUAUGAGUAGAAACCAGGGUUUGUUUGCUUGUUUGUUUGUUUUCCUAAGUAAGGGAGUUAUGAUAUAAUUGCAAAAUAUAAUGUAAGAGUAAUGAGAAAAAGAACCUUUUUGACUUGCCCACUCCUGCACCUCCAAGACCUGGAGCAAUGGUAGGUAUAUAGUAGUUGUUCAAUAAAUAUGUGUUAAAUGAAUGAAUGGUGAUAAAAUUAGGAAUUAAAUCAUUGAAAUGGUGCACUCUGGCCUGUGCAUGAUGUUUUGUUUCUUCUGAAUAUUACUAGUGUGGUAUUUGUUGUUCAAGAAAUGGACAGUUAUUUAAGUCAUUUACUUAAAAGUUGUUAUUUUACUUUUAAGAGACAGGGUCUUGCUUUGUUGCCAGGCUCUGGAGUGCAGUGGCAUGAUCAUAGCUCACUGCAGCCUUGAACUCCUGGGCUCGAGCAAUCCUUCCAUGUAGCUGAGACUAUGGCACGUGUGACUGUGCCUACCUUAAAAGUAUACUUUUAAAUACUUGGCCUUACUUGAUGGCUGUUACCUGAUAAUGACCUUACAAACCUAUGGGCAAGAAAGAGCCUUAGGUGAUUGACUUUAGCAAAUUUAACCUAUUUCAGUGAAAGAGCCACACUAUACAGAACAAAAGUCCCAAAUUUAACACAUCUUCUCCAGUGUGGCAUAUUAUUUAAAAGGUAAAAAUUAUAUCCUCUUAAUUUGCAUUUAUUCAAAUAUUAAUAAAGUUGAACAUGUUACCAUAUGUGCACUAGCUUUGUUUUUUCUUUUGUUCUUCUUAAAUUUUCCUAGAUUACCUGUCAGGGGCUUGGUGUUCUUCUUAUCAACGUGUAUGAGCUCUUUAAUAUUUUUUGUGCAAUGUUUUUUGUAUAUAUACUUCCCCAAUCUACUGCUUGCCUUUAGAGCAAUGUCUUUUAAAACAGAAAAUUCUCAAAAUGACAAUAUCAAAUCUACAAGAGAGGCAAAGAGUACCAUAAGGAAUAUGUAGAAUAUUAGCAAUUCCAAGAUAAAAUUUUCUUAACAAUUUUUUUUACUUACCUAAAUUCCCAAAGUCAUUUGCUGUAAUAAUUCGUCAGUCACAACUGGAGAAUAAAUCACAACCGUGAUACAUUCUGCUGUAAUGAAAAUGGUAGUGACUGCUUAUUACAAAAGAAGGUGUGUUUUAGAACAAAUGUAGUCAUUGGCAUACAUCUAAAUAUUUUGGAAUUUCUCUAAUAUUCAUGUCAUUAGAACAAAGGAAGCUCAGUUUACUUGUAUAAAAUGGUAACCUGCUCUUAAAUGGAAUUGGGUUGCUAAUAUGCUUAAGGAAUCUGUAAAGUGAUUUGGGGAGCAAGGCAGCCCAUUAGCAUGCCACCCCUCGUAGACCAAAUGCCUUUCAUUUAAACUGAGGCAGUGACCCCUCCCAAGAGAGCAAUGGCACUUUCUCCAAUUCAUUAAUCUCAUAGGAUUUGGUGGGCAGCUUCCAAUUUACAACCAUGUCCUUCCCAAACAAUGAGUGCAAACUUUAUAGAAACUUAACCUUGUGGAUUUUAUUUCCCUGGUCUUAACUGCAGCAGCACUGAGGUGAAGAACAGCAGGAUAAAAGAAAAUCCUGUGUCCAGCUCAGUGUAUCAACGUCAGGAACGAGGACAGCAAAGGUACAACUGGGAAAGGCAACACGCCUGUACGUCAGACCAAGGACUUCAUUCACCCACUUCAUGUGGUGAGGUCAUUCUGUCGCAACAGGCAGGUGACUUUUCAGUCUCUGACUGAUGAGACUAUGGAAUGAGUCUCUGAAUGAUUAUGGAAAGAGUGAUGUAUGUUUCACAUUUAAGGCCAACUCCUAGAUCACACCUCCACAUCAACAGCUGGUUGUUAAGCGCCUUGUAUAUACAAGGUGCUGCGUCAUCAAAGUGUAAAGAAAGACUAACUGGAGUCAUGGCAUGGAAUUACCUCAGGAUGUUGCAGACUAUAAAACUUACUGGAAUUUUUUUUCCAUAUGGACCCAAAUAUGCCUUUGUGUGAUUUGAUGUUUUUCACUUUCUAGUAUGAGAACACAAAGUAAAUUACUUUCAAUUACUGUGUUCUGAAGCAUUAAAAAUUGGUACUUCUGUCACCAAAGACAGCAAUAAAACUGGGGGAGAAUGGCACAGGGAUAAAUAAUUUCCACUUAUUUAUGUUCAUUAGAAAUUGCCAAGUAGAUUCAUUUACUCAAAAAGUAUCCCCAAGUUGGGAGGUGUCAUGUUCCACUAAGAGGAAAUGUUUCUUAUGACCAAAUUAAAACACACAACUCUGGGAAAAAAGGUUUAUUUUAAAUGUUGUGAUAACUGAGUCCCAGCCAUAAUGCUCCAAGUGGGCACCAGUAAUGAGGGUUUCCUUUAAUAAGGUUGUUUUUCUUUAACAAAACCGUAUUAAAUGAAAUAGAAAGAAAAAGUAAUGUUUGUGUCAAUGAAACAGGCUUUUAUGGCAUCACAGCCAAUGAAGAUGAGCACAGACAAAGUAGAGGGGCUGGCAUCAGGAAGCAUCUAAGUGCAGCCCUAGAAGGCAGAGCUUUGGCACAAGCCACAUUGAGUACUCCAGAAUUGUCUUCUGUACUUGUGGCAAAGGUAACCUACCUGUUCCCGCUCCUUUUGGAAAGCUUGUGGCUCCUUUGAAGCAUGGCAAGUGUCCCAGCCUUCCCUGGAUGAAGACAGGUUGGUCCACUGGGAAAUGGCUGCUGCUGAUAAUGCAGGUAUUUUAUACCAGCCUAAAGCAUAGUGCAG
This 15174-nucleotide long non-coding RNA is filed under the name Homo sapiens (human). RNAcentral describes it as "HSALNT0119612". Lineage: Eukaryota; Metazoa; Chordata; Mammalia; Primates; Hominidae. The record is from RNAcentral.